CGAAAGCCUGACGGAGCAAUACCGCGUGAGGGAUAAAGCCUUCGGCUUUAUGCCUCUUUUAUCAAGGAGGAAAUUUUGACGUGUACUUGAUGAAUAAGCAUCGGCUAACUCCGUGCCAGCAGCCGCGGUAAGACGGAGGAUGCAAGUGUUAUCCGGAAUUAUUGGGCGUAAAGCGUCUGUAGGUGGUUCGAAAAGUCCAUGGUUAAAACUUGAAGCUUAACUUCAAAGAUGCCAUGGAAACUUUUAAACUUGAGUAUGGUAGGGGUAAAGGGAAUUUCCAGUGGAGCGGUGAAAUGCGUAGAUAUUGGAAAGACCACCGACGGCGAAGGCACUUUACUGGGCCAUUACUGACACUAAGAGACGAAAGCUAGNGGGAGCA
This 379-nucleotide ribosomal RNA is filed under the name uncultured cyanobacterium. RNAcentral's name for it is "bacterial SSU rRNA". It matches the Rfam family "Bacterial small subunit ribosomal RNA", at positions 376 to 770 of the family's 1533-position model. The record is from RNAcentral. Lineage: Bacteria; Bacillati; Cyanobacteriota.